AACGAACGCUGGCGGCAUGCCUAACACAUGCAAGUCGAACGAGACCUUCGGGUCUAGUGGCGCACGGGGGCGUAACGCGUGGGAACCUGCCCUUAUGUUCGGAAUAACUCUCCGAAAGGGGUGCUAAUACCGGACAAUGUCUUCGGACCAAAGAUUUAUCGCCUUUGGAUGGGCCCGCGUUGAAUUAGCUAGUUGGUAGGGUAAAAGCCUACCAAGGCGACGAUCCAUAGCUGGUCUGAGUGGAUGAUCAGCCACACUGGGACUGAGACACGGCCCAGACUCCUACGGGAGGCAGCAGUGGGGAAUAUUGGACAAUGGGCGAAAGCCUGAUCCAGCAAUGCCGCGUGAGUGAUGAAGGCCUUAGGGUUGUAAAGCUCUUUUACCCGGGAUGAUAAUGACAGUACCGGGAGAAUAAGCUCCGGCUAACUCCGUG
RNAcentral lists this ribosomal RNA (433 nucleotides) under uncultured bacterium. Its description in RNAcentral is "partial 16S ribosomal RNA". It matches the Rfam family "Bacterial small subunit ribosomal RNA", at positions 29 to 507 of the family's 1533-position model. The record is from RNAcentral.